UCUACCCUAAAAAAACAUAAGAACAUUUUCAGGAACAAUUUUGAACAGUUCAAGAAUUAUGUAUUGGCUGUGUUUUGUUUACUCUAGGCUUUUGGUUUGUCUAUGCUACUAGUGAAUGAGCAAAAGUAAACAUAUCAGUAAACAAGCAAGGAAUGGGCAUGAAAGAUCAGACAUUAAAUAUUGGUUGGAAUUUACAGUACCAUUCUGAGGCAUUGCUUGGUCCUCAGAACUUUCUAAUUGCUUUGUUAGGUCGCAUAACUCCUAAUCUAAGAUAUGAAAAGAUUCAAAAGAGGAAUAAAAGAUAUCAGACUACUAAAAUACCCACACUUAAUUUUAAGCUAAUGAAAUCUCACAAAUUGGGCAACUCCCCUACCUACCCCCUCCUGCUUGAAACAAGGUUGGCUGCAUCACCAUAAAUAGCUAUCUAACCAUGGACAGAAACAAGUAACUUAGGAUCAUAGACCUGAAUCAAUUUGCUUCUUGGUAUUUCCCUUCUUGAUCUGGAUUAAGUCAAAUCCCUUGUUAUACGAAAGUUUAGACCUCAUAGCAACUGAAGAUAAUUAAUCACCAAUCAGCAAGACUCUUCACAAUCAUAUAACUAUUAGUUAAUAAGCUUAGCUUCCUCCUCAUCUCCACAUAUCAUCAACCUUUCUAACAUCGAGAGUCACAGAUUCUAAAGGCCUAGUUGAGGCAAUGCUUAACUUUAAUUAAAUGGAAGUAAAAACUUGAACUCCAUCCAAGUGUCAGGGCCCCAUCUUCUUUUUUUUAUGUACUGGGAAGCACCUACAAUAAAGGCUAAUGGUGGAUGACUCCCUCACUCGCCUCUUGACAAUAUGAAAACAGGAUUAUCUUUGGCCUGUCAUUCCAUGUCAUCACUAUCCCAUGUUAGGAACCUAAGUUAUUCAAUCAGGGUCUCUUCUUAUUUAAUUUUAGUAACCACAAAGUGGCUCUCUUUCAUGGACAUGAUAGCAAGCCAUCAGAAUGGGUCAUUCUUGUUUCACAUGAGAGGAAGUAGGAGGGGAAAAAGAAUUGCACCUUAAAAAAAAAGAGGGGAAAAGAAUGAAUAAGAUGCUUAAACACUCAAUGGACAUGACAAAUGGAGGUAAUCGAAGGACAAGGAUGGCAUAUAAAUGUAUACAUCAGUAUGAGAAGGCACUCAGGCAAAUCCCCUUGAAUUUUUAAUAAAGAGCUAAGAAUUUGCCUUCAAAAUACACAAAAAUAAAGUACUUUAAAAGAUAUCGAAGAUUUUCUAGGAGCCCAGAACCAUAAAAUGUCAACCCAACUAUGUAUAAGUCGUAGACAUAGACCAUGAAACAUAUCCUGAAAGCAAUGAAAUAACAGGACAACAGGAAUCACAUGCCGAGAACAAAGAGCGACUAUGAAAUAUUGUUUUCUGGAACAACUGACACACAAAAUUGAAUCUAAUUAAUUCAGAAAACUUUGAAGUAGAAUAAUACUUGGAGAGCAUCACUUGAUCAUCUCAUUAAACAAGAAAAAGAAUGCCUCGUGAGAGACACCAGCAAUGCAAGUCCCAGUCCCAGACAAACGCAGUGUAGGGUUGAGGUUAGGUUGACAGACAAUUAUGAAAGAAGCUCAAAAAAUGAAACUUAGGGUGUGUUUGGUGUUGCCUUUAGAAAGUACUUUUUGCAACUUUUAAAACAAAGCACUUUCUAAAACAUGAUCCAUCUCCUCCAACUCUGCAUAAACUAAAAACAUAAACAUUUAACUUAGGAAGAUAAAUUUGACAUCUCAGUUACAUUUCAAUUGGUAGUUUGUUCUUAGCCUAGGCUUUUAUCUUCAUAUAUGCCACUGGAAAAUGAAAUCAUGCAUAUGGAACUUAACAACAGAUAAGAAAAGAGAUUGGCCUAGAAGGAAGACCACGAGUUUGCUACUGAUAGAUAUCGCAUGAAAUGAGAGACAACUUGGUUUCCUAGGUUGAACUUAAGUUUCCUUGAUUUGAAACACAAUGCACAAAUAACAGUUAUGCAGGCUUUCUACAAAGAUUUGGCGGACAAACAUGCCAUUCUCCAAAUAAAUCUACAAACCUUGGAUUCUCAUGAAUGGGCAGUACAACAAGAAAAAAGAAGGGACUCACAAAAGAACAACAAACCAUGAACAGAGACAAGGAUUAAUUUGGUUCAGCCAAAACCAAGUCUUAUAACAUCCACAGGAGAACAAUAUAAAUGUAGUUUCACUCACCACAAGAAGGGAUGGCAGAGAUACAAGGGACAUAUCACCUCAAAAUCUGAACAUGACAGUGCAUACUAUUCCUUUUGGCUCCAACAUCGAGAAAAAUAAGGCACAAAACAGUCCUCAAGGAUAACAAACCUUCUUGAAUAAGUUUUCCAAUGCUCCAAGAGAAACCUAGAAGAUUGGCCACUUCAUUUCUUCAAAACUCUCCCCCCCCCCCCUCCUCCUCCUCUUCUCCCAAUCCCAUUUCAACUUUCUCAGGUGAAAAGGCCAGCAGGUCAUAACAGCCCUUAGAUCAACCCUGAUUGUUGAAUCUCAAAAUGACAAGAGAAAGUGAUUCAUUUGUAAAGAAUUGGGGCUUUUGGCUUCACCAACUCUGCAUGAGUUAUAUGGGCUAACUCGACAUUAAACUGAGCAAGAUUUGAAGUUGUAAAUGAUAUAUCAUAAUGCACAUGGCAAAGAAGUUUCUUCCCUUAUAACAGAAAACAUUAACUGCCCCAUGAUUUGCUUUACGAAAUAUUAGCUUCCAAUAUUUCAAGGCCUAUACCUUUUUGCCUUUAUAAAUCCUACAAAAACCCACAGGCCGUGUACAUAUCUAAACAAUUUAAGUUUAUGGUUAACCAUUUUCACAAAAUGAGCAAUCGAAUAGCUCCUGAAAGGUCUUAUCUCUUCCUGCCCUUACAUCGUAUAGCCCUUCCAAGCAUGGACAGUACAAUCUAGGAUCCACAAUUUCACAAAAUAUGAACAUUAGCUUCUCUCCUUUUGAAAUGAUUAGCUCCCUUAACAAAAAAUAUAGACAUCAUGGUCGCUAAAAGUAAAAAUUCCAUGGCAUGCAAGCCUCUUCAAAAGACACCCUCAACAGCCCUGCAGCUAUCAGUUGAAAAGUUUGGCUUUCCUUUUUCUCUUUCUCAGAGCCACUAGUCCAGCUGUAAACCAUCCUUGUUGACUCAAACAAUUAGUGCAGUCAAAAAAGGACUUCUUUUGCUAUAAAUCUAUGUCUUUGAUAGAUACGAGCUGAAUAAGAGCUAGGUGAAACAUGAUGAUUCUUUUUCUAUCAUUUUAUUAAGCCCUGUCCAUCCAAUUGUCAAAGACAAGUUUCAUCUGCCAUUUUUAUCUAGACCCCUUUCAAGCACCCACAAGAAAGGCUGAGAAAUAAAAUGUAUGCAUCAGUUCUCUUUUGAUCAUUUGAUAACUUUGUUGCCUUUUGGCCAGUUAUCCAUAGUUAGAAGGCAGUGUUAUCAGAGAGCCUUGUUUGCAAUUCCCUUGCUAUGAACAAAAGGCCUCUCAACUCUUAGGAAAUAAGUGGGACUCUAGGAAGGUUCCCUUUAUACUGUGUGUUGUAUUAUCCUAAAGUGUUGAAACUUCAAUUUAUUAGCACAAAAUAUUCUGAGUGUUCAUCUCCAUAUAAUGUUACCGAGCCUGACAGGAGCUAGCGAUGAUAGUUGAUAUCAUGUUGCCAUUCGUACAAGUGCUGGUUGCAAUGUUUAUUUAGUUGGUUAACAGAAAUGUUGCAACUAUAAGGAGAAAAGGAUAUAGAUACAUAUACCAACCAGUCCAAGAUAAUAUUAAAAAUGACUGUGGAAUUAGUAAGAUAUGUUAUGCUGAAGCUGAACUGCAAAAAGACCAAAGGUGAUUUCCCUUUGAUGUCUGCGAACAAAAGAGGAGUCCAAGACUCUAAGCCAUCAGGAAGAAAUAAUCUUUCCUGUUUUGUAGGAAUUGACAAGAACUGAUGACAAGAGUCCAAAUGCGGCAUCCGGAGUGAUUGAGAGGAAUAAAGGAAUGAGGAUGAUGGAACAUAGAGAACAGCAACAAUAUGUACCUCAUGCAUGUUAAGAUGAGAAAGUAAUAUGCUAAUCUGUUUCCAUAUAUACAACUGAAACUAAAAAAAAACAAAAUACUUUUACAAGAAAAUGUGGUGGGGCAAUGUACACCAUUCAAAGUAUGCAUACCACGUCAUCUCGUAGAUUUCAGCCACGAACUAUAAGAACCACCACAUCUUGAUGAACAUAGACAGAUGCAGCAGAUCAUCAUCCCAUUUCACCAGUUUUUCUGCAGCACCAUUAGCCUGGUGCGAAAAACACAACUAAUGGAUGUAAUUUCAGAGGUUAAACCAGUCAGCUGGCUGCUUUGUGUGUGGCACAAGAUGCCCUAUCACAAUGAUUAGACGAAGCCACAUCAUAAUGUUUGAAACUGUUGCACUUUAAACUACAAAUGUGGUACCUAUUAGGCGAAGAGAAUAUUAGGAGCCUUUUCCCAACAGUGAUGAUAAAAACGAGGAUCAUUAACAUGGCGAGAGAAGCAAUACUUGUAAAUGAGAAAAAAAAAAAGACACUUUCAUUAAGUUUCUCUCUAGGACAUAUCACAUUAACCACAUAACCAAAAAGCCAGGUGUAUGCAUCUAAUGACAAUUUAAUCAGGGGAUGAGAGGAUGACGAGGAUGAUGAUGGUGAUGGCGGGUUAUGAUUUACAACACAGGUAUAAAAUAAGUAAUGACUAAUUCAAGAGAAAUUCCCUUCAUUUCCAAACAAGAAAAUUGUUGAACAUUUCAACAAUCAGGAAGAAGUAGACAAAUAACAUUUUUAUGGGUAGCACCUUGGCAACAGUAAUUUAACCACAUUAAAUGAACUACAAAAAAAUCUUCUAAUGCUAUGAUAAUGGUGUGGAGACAGAAGUGAUAUAUCAAAAACAAAAAUGAAAAUACCGUUUCCUAAGUAAUCAAUACCAAUAUUAGGAAGCAUGCCAACGUCAUUAGAUGACUGAAUUUGAAGAAGCAUAAUAUUUUUUUCAAAGCCAACCAAUAAGACUAUAGCCAGGUCGAAUUCAACAAAUUAUGUAAAUGCAAAUGCAGCUUUUCUUACUGGGUUUCUGAUAACCAUGUUGUAGAGCUACUCAUGUUAGAUAACAAAACUACAAAGCCAUGUCUACCGAAAUGGCAGGAAAACAAAGCACAUAUUUUUCAUUGUGUUUUAUUGAGAAGAAAAAAAUGAGCAAUACUUAAGGAAAAGAGCCUUGAGUUAAUAGAACCAUAAAUUUGAUGCAAUUCAUGGGACAAACCUGUCCUUCUGCAGAAUUGCAGUAUUUUACAUGACGUAUGUAAGAUGAAGAUAAUAUUUGACAACAGAUAAUGUAGAACUAGGAAAAAUCUGGGCAUAAAACAGAUAACCACGGUCACAUAGAACUGAUACUAGAAAUAGUAGUAGAGACAUGCAAAGAAAUAUACUAUUCAACUCAUCUUUAAAUACCAGCUACAGGUAACUAACAAGAGCAGUUAUGGACAAGCCCAGAAG
Non-coding RNA from Phoenix dactylifera (date palm), 5477 nucleotides. Lineage: Eukaryota; Viridiplantae; Streptophyta; Magnoliopsida; Arecales; Arecaceae. The record is from RefSeq and is a predicted model, not a curated record.